UACGGAGGGUGCAAGCAUUGAUCGGAAUUACUGGGCGUAAAGGGCGCGUAGGCGGCGGAGAAAGUCAGAUGUGAAAUACCAGGGCUCAACCCUGGUGCUGCAUUUGAAACUUCUUUGCUAGAGGAUGGUUAGGGAAAACGGAAUUCCACGUGUAGCGGUGAAAUGCGUAGAUAUGUGGAAGAACACCAGUGGUGAAGACGGUUUUCUGGGCCAAACCUGACGCUGAGGCGCGAAAGCUAGGGGAGCAAACAGG
This 253-nucleotide ribosomal RNA is filed under the name uncultured bacterium. RNAcentral's name for it is "partial 16S ribosomal RNA". It matches the Rfam family "Bacterial small subunit ribosomal RNA", at positions 524 to 776 of the family's 1533-position model. The record is from RNAcentral.